This 72-nucleotide transfer RNA is filed under the name Hyosciurus ileile (lowland long-nosed squirrel). Its description in RNAcentral is "tRNA-Gly". The record is from RNAcentral. Lineage: Eukaryota; Metazoa; Chordata; Mammalia; Rodentia; Sciuridae.
ACUUUCUUAGUAUAACACACAGUACAGCUGACUUCCAAUCAGCCAGUCCCAGUAUAAACCUGGGAGAGAGUA